AACGCACGAGACCUGCGGACCUGCGGAAGGAUCAUUAGUGAACGCCCUCACGGGCUUAUAACUAUUCCAAACCUCUGUGAACCGUGCCCUUCGGGGCUAUUUUACGAACAUGGUGUAAUGAACGUCAUAUAUCAUAACAAAACAAAACUUUCAACAACGGAUCUCU
Molecule: unclassified non-coding RNA, 166 nt
Filed under: soil metagenome
Description: partial contains 5.8S ribosomal RNA, internal transcribed spacer 2, and large subunit ribosomal RNA
Source: RNAcentral